CAAUACAAGAGUAAGUCAGUAAAAUUUAAUGGCCUGUGAUGUAUAGGAGAUCAGACUAUAUGAUCUGAGAGUCCCUUCUAGCCUUAAACUCUGUGAAUCUAUGAAUUACAACUACAGGAAGGUUAAAGUAGGUAGAAUGUAAUUAACAAUUGGCACUUGAUCAGGACAAUUCAGUAAUAUCACUACUCCUGUGAGUGUCAUGGGAUCUUUAAAAAAAGGAGUACUCGUGGCACCUUAGAGACUAACAAAUUUAU
This is a long non-coding RNA of Dermochelys coriacea (leatherback sea turtle), 254 nucleotides long. RefSeq lists it as uncharacterized. The transcript has 3 exons. The record is from RefSeq and is a predicted model, not a curated record. NCBI's taxonomy places the organism in Eukaryota, Metazoa, Chordata, Testudines, Dermochelyidae.